UACGGAGGGUGCAAGCGUUAUCCGGAAUCAUUGGGUUUAAAGGGUCCGCAGGCGGAAAGAUAAGUCAGUGGUGAAAUCUCCCAGCUCAACUGGGAAACUGCCAUUGAUACUGUUUUUCUUGAAUUUGGUCGGAGUGGGCGGAAUGUGUCAUGUAGCGGUGAAAUGCAUAGAUAUGACACAGAACACCGAUAGCGAAGGCAGCUCACUAGACCUGAAUUGACGCUCAUGGACGAAAGCGUGGGGAGCGAACAGG
This 253-nucleotide ribosomal RNA is filed under the name uncultured bacterium. Its description in RNAcentral is "partial 16S ribosomal RNA". It matches the Rfam family "Bacterial small subunit ribosomal RNA", at positions 524 to 776 of the family's 1533-position model. The record is from RNAcentral.